RNAcentral lists this ribosomal RNA (253 nucleotides) under uncultured bacterium. RNAcentral describes it as "partial 16S ribosomal RNA". It matches the Rfam family "Bacterial small subunit ribosomal RNA", at positions 524 to 776 of the family's 1533-position model. The record is from RNAcentral.
GACAGAGGGUGCAAACGUUGUUCGGAAUUACUGGGCGUAAAGCGCGUGUAGGCGGCUCUGCAAGUCGGGUGUGAAAUCCCAUGGCUCAACCAUGGAAGUGCACUCGAAACUGCAGGGCUAGAGUCCUGGAGAGGAAGGUGGAAUGCUUGGUGUAGAGGUGAAAUUCGUAGAUAUCAAGCGGAACACCGGUGGCGAAGGCGGCCUUCUGGACAGUGACUGACGCUGAGACGCGAAAGCGUGGGGAUCAAACAGG